This 460-nucleotide ribosomal RNA is filed under the name uncultured bacterium. RNAcentral's name for it is "partial 16S ribosomal RNA". It matches the Rfam family "Bacterial small subunit ribosomal RNA", at positions 338 to 795 of the family's 1533-position model. The record is from RNAcentral.
CCUACGGGUGGCAGCAGUGAGGAAUAUUGGUCAAUGGACGAGAGUCUGAACCAGCCAAGUAGCGUGAAGGAUGACUGCCCUAUGGGUUGUAAACUUCUUUUAUAUGGGAAUAAAAUGUUCCACGUGUGGGAUUUUGUAUGUACCAUAUGAAUAAGGAUCGGCUAACUCCGUGCCAGCAGCCGCGGUAAUACGGAGGAUCCGAUCGUUAUCCGGAUUUAUUGGGUUUAAAGGGAGCGUAGGUGGAUUGUUAAGUAAGUUGUGAAAGUUUGCGGCUCAACCGUAAAAUUGCAGUUGAAACUGGCAGUCUUGAGUACAGUAGAGGUGGGCGGAAGUCGUGGUGUAGCGGUGAAAUGCUUAGAUAUCACGAAGAACUCCGAUUGCGAAGGCAGUUCACUGGACUGCAACUGACACUGAGGCUCGAAAGUGUGGGUAUCAAACAGGAUUAGAUACCCGUGUAGUC